Molecule: unclassified non-coding RNA, 962 nt
Filed under: Hevea brasiliensis (rubber tree)
Lineage: Eukaryota; Viridiplantae; Streptophyta; Magnoliopsida; Malpighiales; Euphorbiaceae
Source: RNAcentral
GCUAAUAAAAAUUUUUGGAUCCAUCCCAACUCUUAGUCCUAGCUGUCGCUGCUCCUUCAUCUUCGUCCUCCUCCUCCUACUUCUUUUUCUUCCCCCUUUUCUUCUUCGCUCCCUCUGAUCUUUCUACACAUGAAGGUUAAAGUUGCAUGUCUUGUAAUUUUUGUUUCUGGUUUUCAUCUUGCCGUUCUCUUUGCUGAGCACAAGCGCGAAUCGCCUCUCCUCAUUUCACUUCCUAUUGCGAGGCAUUGUAAUGAGCAUCGCAUCGCACCAUCAAUGCUCAUCUCGACCCAUCUAAUAGAGACCCAUAUGCAAAUACAUCCUUACUUUGAUAGCAUCAGAGAACCAUCCAUCCAUCCUUGCCUCGACACCAUCAGAGAUGGAAACCCAUCGUCGAUGUGCCUCAUGGUGAGAGAUAGUCGUUAAUAAGUGAAUAUUUCAAUGAUAUUUUUUUUCUAUUGAAUGUAAUUCUUCAAAUCUAUAAACUAUAGUUCUUCAAUGAUAUUUUUGUUGAUGUUUUGAUUGAAUUUGUCAUUGUUGAUUUAAUUUAUUAUCAUGAAUUUGGGCUACUAGGAUUUAAGGAUUGAGGCAAGAGAAUUCAAUGACAUCAUUUGGGAUUGGGAAUUGGGAUUGUGAGGGAGGGGAACUAUUUAGGCAUUUCCUUAAACCAACUAUUCGAAUUUAUUCGGCUCAAUUUGAUUUGGUUCUUCUCUAAAUUAGGUUCAAUUUUUAUUGACAUUUUACAUUAGAUUGAUUUUUCAAUUUUGGUUUAGUUUGGAACCGAACGGAUCAAACGCUCUCCUCUGCUAAAGGGUCCAUUUACUAUUAGUGUUUAGACUUCCAUGGAGAAAAGUAUCUCUUUAAGAGAGUUUUUUGUUUAACUUUUGGAAGCAGUUAAUAGCCGGUAGACAUCCCAAUAGAUGCACCAACCUAUUUGAUAAACCUAUCAAAAUUGCAACUUAUAG